GCCCCAGUAGUGUAGUGGUAGAACCUCCAGCCUCUCAAUCCUCCAAAACGCUAAGGAAAUGGUAUGGAUUGAUAGGCUGGAGUCCCGGGUUCGAUUCCUGGCUGGGGUA
Non-coding RNA from Coniochaeta pulveracea, 109 nucleotides. NCBI's taxonomy places the organism in Eukaryota, Fungi, Ascomycota, Sordariomycetes, Coniochaetales, Coniochaetaceae. The record is from the annotation of a GenBank genome assembly.